Molecule: long non-coding RNA, 958 nt
Organism: Gadus morhua (Atlantic cod)
Lineage: Eukaryota; Metazoa; Chordata; Actinopteri; Gadiformes; Gadidae
Exons: 2
Source: RefSeq, a predicted model, not a curated record
UAGAGUUAACUAUGACAUUAAUGCGAUUAAUCACGAUUAAAUAUUUUAAUCGCUUGACAGCUCUAGUUUUGUAACAUGAAAUCAAACCAAACCCAACCAGUGCCCCAUGAUCGGCAGUCUUGUUUGUAUAAUUACACUGCGGGAAUAUUGCCAUAGCACAUGACACUAUGUUAUGGUGGGGUCAUCUGAGAACACAAACUUCUGUUUAAUUCAUUAUCAGUCUGGGAUUUAAGAGAUAUAUCAAGGUGAAGAUUUAAAAAGAGUGAGAAGUAGGGUGAGAUCUAGAAGACAAACUUGCAGUGUCAGUGCCAUCUGCCAGUGAAUAUAAUGAAAAGAUUGCUGAAUUGAAGUACUGAUGGCUAGUAUUAUUUGAAAGAAGCGAGGAACGGUUUUAGGAGCUAAACCGUUGUAGGUUUAGCUCACUUCAAGGACUUGAAGUGAGGCCUACAGCAGCCUGCAUGGUGGGACCACUAUUCAUCAUGAGAGUCUCUAAAUGAACCAGAAACGCAUGACCUUCAAGUCUGUCUUCCGGAAGUGUAAAGUGUUUUCUAAAUGUUCUCUUCUGUCCUGACUCUCCAUCAGCCACCUUCUGUUGCUGAGUUUGAAAACAUCUCAGCUUUGACCUAUCGCUUGGCUCCUGCAGCACAGAGAGAACCAAUAGGAGAGCAGGAUAAUCUUCAUUAUCCCAGCAUCCACACCUCUCUCUCAGAGAACCAGGAAAUGCCUCGCUGGUUGGCUGGCUUUCGUCUCAAAUCAGACCAGACAGAUGCAAUUCUUUUACUCUGUGGUCAACAUUAAGAGACCCAACACUGUCCCUGGAGAGCGUGAGCAGAAAGAGGCAGCAGAAACCUCAGAGUUGUAUAGCACCGUCAAAAAAUAACCCGGAGAUUGAACCAGUUGUGGCAGCAGGAUUUAAAUAGUGGGUCUAGGUAGAUUGUGUGUCUCAUCCAUUUAGUUU